GAAAAGCACGCAGCAACGAGAAGAGAGUGAUUGCAGCAAAAGACCGUCCAGGUAUGCUCCUUGUUACUCUCAAUGUUCCUAUCCCUAUUCAAUUUCUCCACUUGGUCGUCUUUUCGUUUUAAUAUUUUUUAUAUUGUUGAUUGGUGUGGACGGAAAGGGCUACUAAGAUUGCUGUGUUGAAGUUGAUUCCUGUUAUUCAUUAUGCUCUCAUUCAUAUUCCUUUCUUCUUUAAUCUCUUACUGAUUCCAAGACGCCAUUUAUAUCAGCAUGAACAUCAUGAUCACUAACUCGUUUGUUUGCUGAAUCUGAUUGCUUGUGAUUGUUUGUCU
This 329-nucleotide long non-coding RNA is filed under the name Vitis vinifera (wine grape). RNAcentral describes it as "long non-coding RNA (VVIN_LNC001455)". Lineage: Eukaryota; Viridiplantae; Streptophyta; Magnoliopsida; Vitales; Vitaceae. The record is from RNAcentral.